RNAcentral lists this ribosomal RNA (253 nucleotides) under uncultured bacterium. RNAcentral describes it as "partial 16S ribosomal RNA". It matches the Rfam family "Bacterial small subunit ribosomal RNA", at positions 524 to 776 of the family's 1533-position model. The record is from RNAcentral.
UACAGAGGGGGCAAGCGUUAUUCGGAAUUAUUGGGCGUAAAGGGCGCGUAGGCGGCGAUUCAAGUGACGGGUGAAAUCCCUCGGCUUAACCGAGGAACUGCCUGUCAGACUGGAUUGCUUGAGGCCGGGAGAGGCGAGUGGAAUUCCCAGUGUAGCGGUGAAAUGCGCAGAUAUCAGGAGGAACACCAAUGGCGAAGGCAGCUCGCUGGGACGUGACUGACGCUGAGACGCGAAAGCGUGGGGAGCAAACAGG